This is a long non-coding RNA of Cyprinus carpio (common carp), 1006 nucleotides long. The record is from Ensembl. NCBI's taxonomy places the organism in Eukaryota, Metazoa, Chordata, Actinopteri, Cypriniformes, Cyprinidae.
GGAAACUAUAACAGUCAUUAUUGUGAUACUGUAACAAAAAAGUGUUUCCGAGUGUCAGUUUUUUGAGCGCUGUAAGGUCUUGUUGUUUUGCAAGGGUGAUAAUGAAUGAUUCACAUGGCAGAAUUCAGACAGGACAACUGUUUCCAACUGGAGAGGGUGCAUUAUGAUGUCAUAGCUGAUGAAGUUUAUAAAAUAGUUAGAAAGGCUUAACUUUAUUAGAAAGUGUUCAGUGAUAUAUUUGACACUGUCCCUAUCGAGGCCUACAAACAUUCAAUUGUCUGUCUUUCUUUCUCCCUGCAGUCCUCCCUCUUCCUCAUCCUCUGGAAGGAAACCCCUUCUUUCCUGUUCACAUAAGAAACUUUGACUGGCAUUUUGGAAUGAAUUUCAAGACAGGACAACGAAAGAUAAAGGUUGAGUAAACUGCGCUAUUGCCAUCCUAUCCAUCUCACUGCGUUCUCAAGGUGAGAAAAAGAACGCCCACCGCGACGAACAGAGAAUCUUUUAUUCGGGAAAAGGAGAGAAGAGAAAUUUAUCAAACAAUUACAUUUCUGCAUGCACUGGGCCAUAAGGCAUGCCCACGUGAGGUGGAAAAUGCGACGUCUGAUCGGUUCACAAGUCUUCCCAGUAAGAAACAAGAAAUAUCUCAGGCACUGAACAUCGCAUAUAACUCUACCUUUGAGCUCUUCAAGAAGAACAGAACCCACUGCCACUGGAAUAACAAUUCAUUCCAAGAACUAAUGGAACAUCUCCACCGACAAGCUAAAUUAAAUUCCGUCCCGGUGGAGAUGAGCUCUGAACUUGAGACGUUGGUUGAAAACUUCAAGAAGCUCGAUCAGUUUCUCACACAGCAGAAUUUCAGCUGCUGCGCGUGGGAAACUGUGCGCCAGGACAUCCUGAUCGUUAUGGACCACUUCAGAAGAAUGACUAGAAGAAUGACUAGAAGAAAGAAUAGAUAAAAAUCACUAGAAUAAGAUCAAUUUAAUACAAUGAGUGCCGUAAAUUAAAU